RNAcentral lists this long non-coding RNA (459 nucleotides) under Homo sapiens (human). RNAcentral describes it as "HSALNT0364336". The record is from RNAcentral. Lineage: Eukaryota; Metazoa; Chordata; Mammalia; Primates; Hominidae.
GAAACCUCUAAAGGAUAUUUAAGCCCCAGAAAAUUCUGUAACUAGCUCUCUUGAGCCACUUGCACAAUCCCACUCCUAGUCUGUGGAGUGUACUUUUGUUUCAAUAAUUCUAUGCUUUUAUUACUUCAUUCCUUCAUUUUUUUUGUGCAUUUUGUUCAAUUCUUUGUUCAAAACACCAAGAACCUGGACAACUCGUAGUCAAGAACCUCCACUGGUAACAUUACUAUAUGCUUGGCCCUGUUCUAAGGACUGGAGUGUGUAUGGUUAUUCACAGAAGCAGAAACAGGCUCAGAGACGUGAAAAAAUUUUCUCGCAUUUUCAGAGCUGGAAAGAAGUGGAACCUGGAUUUAAACACAGGCAACUCUAGAGCCUCAAGUUCCACUAUGAUCCUUAUUAGAACAUUAAAACGUCCAACACAAAGAAAUGAUACAUGUUUGAGGGAACUCACUUGGGAUAACA